UCAGCAACUGGAGAUUCGAACUAGAGAGUAUAAGACCUCCCACUUGUCAUCAUCCCCAAAAUCAUCGAAAGUGCAAUUUUGAAUGCACAUUUGUUAGGUAAUGACAUCAUCCAAUCCUGCCGAAUAAGUUCACGAGAAAGCCAAAAACUAAUCAGUAAGCUAUAAGCCAACAUUAAGCAAUACACACGACAAAGAAACUACCAAUAUCUCAUGUACCAUUCAGGGUACCAAAUGAUCAUUUGAUAUAAUACUACUACGUUGUCCAGUAAACAAUGUCAUAUUCCAUAUUCUCUAUUCAAGUGACAUCAUCAUCAAGCACUACAGACGUGUCUAUGAACACCUUGGCUCAUUGCUACAAUGCAUAAACUUGAAGGAAGUUGCCUAUGCAUUUAACCAUUUGCUGAUAAAACACGUUUGACAGUCAAGAAAACCCUUAGGCCUUGACAGUCAAACAUGAUUACUAUGAAAGAAGACUCAAAAGAGACUGGCAUGAUUUUCCAUGAAAUGAGUCAAAGUAAAGACUAAGGUCAAACACACUCGGUUAAACCAUCUCAAAAAUUCAGCUCCUCUUUCAGAUGCAAAAUAGCACAUAUAUAAAGCAUUUAUGCAUGCAUGUACAUAUAUAAAUAUAUAUAUAUAUAUAAUUUCAAAAGAGCAUGUGUCAUUACUUACUAUCUCCUAGGACUUGCAGCAGCACCAACCACCCUGACAACAGCAGAAAUUGAAAAUAUUAUACAGGUACCAAAUUGCAUCUGCAAAACCAAAAAAAAAAAAAAAGAAAAAAAUUCAUUCAAUAUUCUUUUGAGUACCUGCCCUGCUGAUUUCCAACUACACUCCCACUGGUCUUCCAUUGAGUUGAACCCUUGUUUUGGGAGCUGCCAAAAUCAUUCUUCUCAGAAUUUGUUCCAUUUCCAUAUGUCAAUAGAGUAGUUUGCCCAUGCCUGCUCUCAGAGCUAUUCAUUCCCGUGUGAUCCUUAGGUUUACUCAAGAUUUUUACAUUUGACACACCUUCACUGUUGCUAAAGGAAACACCAUUUGGAUUCUGGUUCUUCAUUGCAGAUAGCUGAGAUGAGUUAUCGAUGGCAUUUGAAGGCCUGGACACUGCAUACUCCUUAAAAAUGCUCCUGUCAGACUUUCCAGAUGUGGACUCCAUUGAUGGAGCUUUCUUCAACCGGUGAGACUGAGCCAUCGGAGUCACAGCAACAGAAGGCACCAAUGAUGAGUAAGAUGAUGUUACAGCGGCAGCAGCAGCAGCAGCAACCUUAGCAACAGCUGCUGUGGCUGCUAUGAUUUCUUGUGCGCCUUCUCGAAGUUGUAUGUAGUCUCCAUCAAUUACAAAUAACUGGAAAGAGAAAAUAGGUUACUUAAACUUAUUAUUGAGCAAUGCAGAAAUUUAACUUAGGAAGAAAAUGCAUACUUCAGGAUGGCUGGAGACAAACUCAUCAAGCUUCCCAUACUUCUUUUUGUAAUCAUGCCAAUGUAGAGGGGCAAUCAUUUUACCAAGUCUAUUUGGAAGCUGCACAAAAUUAAGGCAUACAUCAUAAACAACUUACAAUGUAAAAAAACAAUCUUGCACUGACAAAAACUUCACUCUGAAAAGGAAGGAAAAAUUGAGAUCAACUAACCGUUGUGGUGAUCCUUAUUCUACCUCCAGAUCCUGGUGGAAUUGUACGGACGAUGCAAGCUAAUAAUGAUCUUUCAUCAAGUAGAUUAGCCUCUGAUAAUUUUCCACCUAUACCUGUAUUUUUCUGACCCGUAGCAGCGAAGGAUUCAGAAAGAAUGACUUCUGCAGCAGUAUCCAUUGUACUUUCGCUCAGAUUUGCAGCAUGAUUUGCUUCUUCAGAAGAUGAUUCAUUGGAGACAGAGCCACUUUUCUCCAUCAUUAAACCUUGCACCUCCAUAGGAGAAUUAGAUAAUGAGUUGACAUUCUUCUCCUGUUCCAGAUGAAGAUUUUAAUGAAUCGAAAUACAAAUUCUCCACUGACAAAUAGACAGCGAGCCUAGCACAAGCAACCAGACCAUUAGGUGAACUUAACCCUGGAGACCCAUUGAAUUAAGCAACUGCAUUACCUUUGUGUCGUUAACGUGUGCAAGAGAAUCCAAUCUCAAAGCAUCAUGAAACUGGGAAGAUAUUUGUUGCAAGCUCUGCUGAGGUUGGGCUCCAGAAAGGUAGCUUGUAUCUAUGGAUUCAACUGGCUGCAAUAGAUUUGUGGCUGAAGAGAAUGAGUAUCCACAUAAAAGAAGCAACAAAGACAAGUUUAAGCAAUUAUAGUUUUAAGCCAUCGACCUGUCCCUCCACAUUUGAGGAUGAAACCACAGAAUGAGGUUCCAUUCCUUGGCUGAUGUUAACGUUCAUAUAACCCGAAUGAAGAACCUGACCAUUUACAGAGGAUUCAUAGUUGUAAUUGGAAUCCGACCUCAACAUGUUAGGUUCAGUUUGUAGAGAAUGUUGAUCAUGAGUUGCUGCACCCUCUGAUAAAGCCUAAGACAGCAACAGUGACACUGGUAAACCAUCACACUGAAGGUAAACACUCGAGAUAAACCAGCCAAAAUUUUAAUAGAGCACCUGUUGGUUUUGCCACUGCUGAAGUGAUGACAUUGCUGGCACAGAGUGAAAAUGUCCAACAUGUGAUGGUACAGAAUGAGGUACCCCUUGCUGAUGCACCACAAAGGGAUGCACGGCAGUCAUCUGUCCAUGUGGAAGGUAAGUUGGCAUCCCAAGUAGGGAUGAAGGAGCAAUUGGAACACCAUGGGCAUGAUCAGCCUAGCAACAUAAGGUGGAAAAGAUAAAGUGAAAGAAAACCAUCAUAUUUGUGUUUUAUAUUCAUGAGUUGGACAUGACAUGGAGGAAGAACAAAUGUGCUGAAAGUAAUAAAAAACUAGGGAAAAAAUAGUUUACAAAAAAUUAAAAAGGUGACAGGAGCAUCUCCAACUCAACGUUGAUCUAGAUUCAAAUAGCUUUAUACUUCUACAAUGCCAACAAUCUCAAAUUAGUUUCUUUAUAAUACAGAAAACUGUAGGGUACUUUUCAAUCCGCAGCAGAUACAGUAAGGACUGGCAACCAGUGCCACCUUUCUAGAACUUGUCAUUCAGCUGAUGACAACAAAGAUUACAGCUUCAUGGAAUUAACCGACAACUUCUAAUAGUUGUUUGCAUGCUUGUGAAGUUGAUAGAUGCAGAAUUGAAUAUCCAAAACAUUCUAACAACUUAGGCAUCUUCAACUAUGAGAUCCUCAGAUAUAUUCAACAAGUAAACAGAGAUAUGGAUUGCAGUUUGAAAAAAAAAAGAAGAAUUGGGACUUCCUUGGGAUACAUAAAGGAUUAAAAUGUAGCAACGCCCUAAAGUAAGGUGUAAAUGUAUUGAAGAGCUAUACAACAUAUUUGAUGCCUUUCAAAGAAGCAGUACAAAAUUCCAAAAACAAAAAGAAAUCUUCUGUCUAACGCCUCAUUAUUUACACAAACUCCUCAUUUUAAUAAUCUGUAUUGGAAUGAGAAUGCAAGAGUGAAUUUAGGAUAGGUAUCACCCACAAAUGACACCCAUCCAUAUAUUCGUUAAAAAGGAAUUGUUUCAGCAAUAUUUGCAAAACAAACAUCCAGACAAUAAUUUUAGUGGAAACUCUACCUGCACUGAUGCAUUGCCUACUGAAACAAACGAAGCAUUAUCAGCAUUUCCAUUAGGUAGGCUAGAGCUUUCACCAGGUGAACCACUUCCACUCAUAUCCAGGUGGCCACUAUUGCUCUUUCCAAUCUGGGAAACAUCCCUUGGAUUUGUCUGAGAAACAUGUGAGGCAUCUGAGUAUGUGUUGCUUCUUUCUCUUGCAUCAGCCAAUUCAUGCUGCAGCUGUUGUAUAUGGAGAUGAAGACGCUCCAUCUCACCAAACUAAGAAAACAACAAAUAUCAUUGGCUUUAACUGAUACACAUACCAAUACAUUUUGUUUCUAGGGAAAUCAUGUAGUACUUGUAAAGAAUUAGGAUGAAGAAGAAAUCAAGAGCAGGAGACCAGCAAGGAAAUGUGAAAGUACAAUUUUGGUUAAACCUUAACAACCUGUCUUUGACAACCAAGCCAAAGCUGAUUAUAUUGCUCUGUGCGUUCUCGAAGUUCAGCCUGUAAAGAGUGGUUAGUAGUUGAUUGUAGUGCAUCCAUCUCCUGUACACGAGUUAUCCAAGCCUGGGCCUCUCUCAACUGUUCAUCUUUGAAGAGGAUGUUCUCUUGAGCAAUCCUAUUCUGCAUGAUGAAGAUUCCCAACCAGUCACAGUAUUGAAUAAAUAUGAUUGAACAACUUUUUCAAAAAAUGCUGGAAAAACUGACAUGGUAAUUCUACAAAGGGAAACAAAUUAAAAUUCAUGUAUGAUCUUUGGGGAGCAUAUUAAUUAGCAGGAUAUAAACGAAAAGGCCCAAAAAAAAUUCCUCCAAUUCGCAUUUUAAAAUGGUCAAAAAGCUUUGCUAAAGUAGAUGAAAAUUGCUAACUUCAGAUUCAAAAGCAAUACCUGUUCCUGCAACUCCAUCAGCUGUCGGUCCUUUUCUUGAAAAUGUUCCUGAAGUUCAUGGAUUUGUUUGAUAUGCUGGGCUCUUUCAGCCUCGGUGUUAUCUCGCUCCCUCCUACAAAAACAAAGCAGAAGAACAAAUGUUGAACGCUCACAACAACAUACAACAGGAAAAAAUUUAUCUCUCUUCGUCAAGCAACCAGGACUUUAUCUGAAUGAAAUUUCGAAAGCUUGCCAAGAAAAUGAUGGGCAUAAAGACGAGAGGACUAUAGCCAAAAAGUCACCUCAUUUCCACUAAAAAAUGGGCUCUGACCUCAGAAUAUUCUAGAGCUCAUACCUGUACGUUUGUAGCUCUUUGCUCUGCUCUCUAAGAAGAUCCUCUUUAGCCCAUGCCUGCUAAAGUUUAUAACAAAGAAUGAAUUUAGGUUAGCAAGCGCGCCAGGGGCUGAAACAAGAUUACCUUCAAUAACGUGAAAAGUUGCAAAACAAACCGCUUCAUUGUCUAGUCUGAUAGCGUGCAGCUCCCUUUCUUUGUCUUCCAUCUUUCUCUCCAACUCGAGUAUCCUUUGUUCCUUCUCUCGCAGUUGCUCCUUCACAGGCAGUGAAAGGGCUAUUCAAUAAGCAACCCAGAAGUGCCAAAAAAAAAGGAUCCACAAACUCGUUACUCUAAAAAUGCAUAUACGCUAAUCAGCUAAACAUGAAACCUGAAGCUUGAUUUUGGCAUUUUCAUGCUCUUUGAUAUGAGCAUCAUAAGUGCUCCGCAUCUCCAUAAUUUCUCCCCUUGCUAUAAGUUGAGCGCGAAGUUCGGUCUCCAUCUGCUGCAACUCCUCUCUUUGUUUCACCACGCUAUGCAGCCUCUGCUGCAAAAUAUCAUUGUCCAAACUUCCGUCAAUGGUAAUGGAACAGAAAUCCACAUCAGCCGGCUCUCUUCCCUGUUGCACCUUAACACCACAUAAAAUAACCUUCACUUUUCACUCACAUUCCCUAAUCAAAAGAGUAUUAAUACAGAAAAAGUCCAUAAGACCCCAUUUUUAAGAAGACAUUUAUUACCUCGUAUAUCAAUCUCUCAUCCGAUUGCCCCAACUUUGAACGCUCCAAUUCCUACAGUUCACCAUUAUUGUAAUCUCAAUUAAAAGCGACAAAAUUCACAAGCCCUUUCAAUCUAAGUAGUAAGAAACAAGCAAUGCAAGUAGGCUUUGAAAGUAAAGAAUACCUCGUUGCUGGAACUUCGAACCGAUGUUUCGGAAACAACCCUCCAUUCUUUGCGAGAAGGUUGAGACGAGGGCACGGACAGAGAAACACCGCGUGCGGCUGCAACACCUGCCGCGGCCUCCAUUGGUCAAAUCUCCCCACUACAAAUAGUCCUCCAAUUUCUCGCUGACAAAAUUUUUUUUUUUUAAAAAAACCCUAAUAUCUCCCCCAAAACCCUAAAGAAUGUAUAUCGGCAAGCAAGAGAGAAAUAAAGACACCGUAAAGCGAGAAAUAAAGGACUAAAAUGAGGUCAAAGAAGGGUUGAAUCAAAUGAAUGAGACAGAAUUGCCAUGCUUCAGAGUCAGUCAGUGAGUUAAGGAAUGGAUUUGUAGACUACCGACCAGCUCUCUCUCACUUACUUUCUCUCUCUACGGUGGCGUAUAUACAGAUUUUUAGGGGAGAAGGUGGGGAUUUUUAACUAUUUAAUUUACUAAUUGGCUUUAAAGGGAAUUGGAUGUUGGAGGCUAAAAAAAGUGAAAAUGAGUCGAAACGUUUGACGACACGAGAAAACGAAGAGAGUUUGCGGUGCGUGAGGAGAUAUGAUUGGGCGUUGGGCAUGGAUACCCCAAAGCCCAAGCAAAUGCCCAACACUCCCGCCUUUUUUCAUACAUGAUGAAGAAAAUCUUUUACGUCCGAGUUGCUUCUUUGAGCCAACCCAUUUUGCACUACUCUACUCUAGUACAAAUAGUUCAAAUAGGUUUAACAUAUGAACCGUUUUUACACUAUGUGGUAUGAUGCAAUUGUGACUGAGAUGCCGACACCAAAACAAACUUAACUUGUGCUGUUCUUAAUUUGGAUCAUGGCCUAACAAAAAUUGGUUUUAUAACAUGUAUUCCUGCCACUAGAAUCGACCCAAUGAUUAGGAUAGGGUAAAGUUCUUAAUGUCUUUUUAGCUACUAGAUUCACAUUUUGUAUAUGACAGUUAGAGGUAGAAAAGGCACGACAAAACUUCAUCUAUAUAAGACCUAAUCAGGAGCUCUUCGAAUCCUGUAUUUGACAAUUAAAAGUAGGAAAGGCAUCCAAAGGCAUGAAAAAAUUUCGUCUACACAAGACUUGAUCAGGAGCUCUAGUAGGUUUAAGGAUUCCUUAGUCGAUAAUUUGUGAGGAGUAAGCACUUAAUAUGACUCAAUCAAAUUUGAGUCGAGCUUGACGUUUCAAUUUAUCCUCGUGCUCAAGUUCAAUAAGUUAUAAACUUUAAUUGAAUCCGAUUGCACCCUUCAAUUAAAACGUGGAUGUUUUUGUAACCUUAAUAUUUUCGAGUGAUGAAAAAUGGACAAAUACUUGGGUAGACCCGAUUUAUGGUCCCACCCAUAGAUCAAAUGAUCCAGAAUUUGUCACGUUAUCAAUGCGAAUUUAACACUUCAAAACCAAAAUUGUUCCAUCUCUCUACUCAUCAUCUGGAUCCACAACAACAUUGACUGAAUUAAUAAGCUCUUCUCUCAAGGCUUUUGCUAUUCCUUUUAUGCCUUCCAUUCUUACUCUUGACAGUAAACAUCUCAACUGAGCAGUAUACUAAAUAUAUAAAGGUCCAACCACAUUUUUUUUUUGGUCUUUAUAAUAUCAACUAAUUUUGCCUUACGAAUCAGGUUUACAUAUGCAAAGUUAAGUCAUUCGAAGUUGGAAUUCAUUCUUAAAAUGAUAUGAGAAAUGAGACAUAAUGGCAAAAAAAGUAUAAAAAUAAAAAAGAACUUGGGAUAGAAAAUUUUGAAAAAUGAGAGGAAGAAAAUCUAUUAGUCAUAUCUUUCAUUUGAUUUUCAGAUCUACUUAAAAAAUUUAUAAGUCUUGCAUUUUUGGAGGACAUUAGAAACUAUAAGAUAAGUGAUGGAACUUUUAUGAUAGAGAAUAAGAGGCCAAAACAGUUGGAGAUGUAAAUAUUAUCCCAAUAAAGAGGAAGAGGGAGAAAAAUCUUUUAACAGAGGAGGUGAGAAGUUUAUAGGUUACCAGAGUAGUAAGAAAUUGCAGGAUGGAAGAGAAAUGAGUAGUGAAAUUAGGUCCUAUUUCUCAAAUGAGGUUUUUAGAUAUUUAUUCAAAAUUUUGCUGUAACUUAUGGUAGAAUUUAUAGAAAAACUUUUUGAGGCGAGUAAAAAAUUUCCUUUUUUUUUUUCAAAGAAACUUUUCUUUUUCAUUUUCUUUCUCUUUCAUUUUCUUCUUUUUUUUUCCUUCUCUUCUUCUUCACCCCCACCCCAUUGUUCUUUUUCUCCAUUCCUUAUGGCAAUCAAUGAGGCUAGCUUCUCUUUUUUUUCCCUUUUUUCGCUCUCUCUCUCCCAUCCACUCAUUUCCUCUCAUUCUCCUCCCUCCUUCUCUUCCUUCCCUCUUCUCCUCUCUCUUCUCCCCCUUUCCCCAUUUUAUCCCUCCACCUUCUUCCCCCUCUCCCUUCCCCUGUCACCCUCCCCCUUUCUCAUGUGCGAUUUGGUCGCACAGCGGUGACGUUAGUCUACUCAUUGCAAAGUAUUUGUUAUAUUAGAUAGAAUACGUAGAAUACAUCCAAAUCUCAUAUAAGAGAAGGGAAGGGUGACGGGAUGGGGGAAAAGGUGGAGGGAGAAAGUAGGGAAAGAGAGAUAGGGGAUGAGAAGAUGAGAGGAAGCGAGAAAGCGGAGAGAAAGAAAAGAAAAAAAAAAAGAAAGAAAAAACGGUAGCCAGCGUCAACGCCAAAAGAGUUGACGUCUGGCGUUGGCCAGUGGCUCUGGUGGUGAUGGGUUGAAAUGGAAUGAGGAAAAAGAAGAAUAGAGAGAAGAGAAUUUUUUUUUUGUGUUUUUUGGUAUUAUAAUGUAGGUAUUUUUUAAAUUGUAGUUAAAAUUGUAAAAAAAUUUGUAAAAAAAAAUUUGGCAACAAAUCCAUUUGCCAAAUAGGACCUUAGGUUGGAGGAAAGAGGUAAAGGGUAAUGUCUAUAAUGGUGGUGGUAAUAACUAGAGCAUUAAGCAAAGCAGCAGUGAUAGAGCAAAAAGAUAGAUGAUAUUGAGGAUUCGGUGGUUGUAAAUUUAGAAGAAGAGGAGUGUAUAACCGAGAAGAUGACGUGGAACAUUUUUAUCAAUCAAUCUACAUGAGAGGUCGUAAACCGAAUCUACCCAAAAAUUUUCCAUGAAAAUGUGAUAUGAGGUACGUUUCUGGUUGGCAGUUGCAAAAGGGAUGAGGUCGGGUAAUUAGUUACGUCUAUCAUUCUUGAGUUUUGAGUUAUACGACCCAUUAACUUUAUCGUUCAUGAGUACGCUUAUUUGACAAGUGAAUUUUUUGGGUGUUUGUCUAAAUUUUAAUUGUAACUUAUUGUAUAAUUUGUAGAAAACCUUUUUAGGGUGUGUAAAUUUUUUUUUUCCUUUUUCUUCGUCUUUCUUUUUCAUUUUUUUCUUAAUCUUUCUUUAUUUCGUUUUCCUUUUAUUUCAUAUACUCUUCUUCUUCUCCAUUCCCAUCUUUGAUCUUCCUCACUGCUUUCUCGCUAUAGGCGGCUGCUGGUGUCACAAAAAAUCAUUUUUUGCUUCUCUCUCACUUUGUCUUUGUCUCUCAUUCUUCCUCCUCUUCUCUCCAUCUUUCCCCUUAUCGCCUCCUUUUUUUUCUUCCUCGUCACCCUUCUCCUACUUCUAACAUAAUUUGAUCGCAUGACCAGAUCAUACUAGGGAAAGGAGGAGGGUGGCAAAAUGAGGGAGAAGGGAAGUGGAGGAGGUGACAGGAGAGAAAGUAGGAGAUAGCUGGAGAGAAAAGAGGAAGAGAGGAAGGGAGGAAAGAAAAAGGGGAUAAGGAAGGAGGAGAAUGAGAGGGAAGAGAGAAAGAAACAAAAACUAAAGAGAUCAGUGGUACUGGUCAACCACGAAAAUAGUGAUGGGUUGAUGAGAUGGGGAGAGGAAGAAAAGAAAAGAAAUAAGAAAAAAAAUUUGUUUGUUUUUUUGGGUAUUUUAAAAUUUUUGAAAAGUUUUUUAAUAUUACACAACUUAAAGUUGUUAAAAAAUUAUAGGAGAAAACUUGGCAAACAACUCGUCUGCCAAAUAGGUGAUUAAGUAUGAUGAGUUUAUUGCCAAACUAACUCUUCUUUUGAAACAUAUACCCAAAGUAACAUAAUUUUAAAUUUUAUUACCUUUCUAAUUCUUUUUUUGCCACAUAUGUUGCAUAUGUGGCAGGAUAGAUAUAGAGGCACAUUCCAUCUCUCUUUCCCAACUAAUAUCUUUCCAACUUUUUUUUCCAACUAAUAUCUUCUCCGAUUCUCUCUCUGAACCUUUCCAUUUUUUUUGGGAUAAUUUCAAAUACUUCCCCAGAAGUUUCUGACAGUCUCACUCCCCUUUCCUGUGGUUUCAAAAAUACCACAAACUUUCCCUAAAACUAAAUAGGCAGUCUCAAAGUAGACCCAAUUCAAAAAUACAAACAAUAAAAAAUGGAGAGUUGGAGAGAGAAACAACUAUAUACCACAAAUGCCCUGAUUAUCUUGCAUUAAUGAUUUUAUCUUUAUGACUAAUACUAAUUUACCUAUAAACACCUUACACGGGGUGAUCUAUGAGGUAUAAUCAGUUUACAAACAUGUACAUUAUGUUAGAUGUUAGUUACUUGCCUGUUUCUAUAUUGGUUAAAGGAUUCUAAUUUAUCGUUAAUUACGUUAAUUGUGUUUAUAACUAACUUCAAUAAAUUUGUCCUGAUAAUCACGAAAUAUUAGAGAGGUAGUUUUCUUCAAUAAAUAGCAUGUAUAUAAAUACUUAGUGAAUGUACAAUCUGGUUGAAAUAAUGUACACCGUGUUAUUGACCAAGUACGAUGCAUAGAAAUUGUUGAACAUGCAGUUAUUUGUUCACAUGCAUAUUGUAAUUAGUCAUCGCAGCAAUAUGCAUAGUGCAAUGGUAUGCAUACAUUUGGAAUGGUUAUUGGUACUUUGACCCACUUGUGCAUCUUCUUGCAAGUUUCAGUGGGUAUGUAAUUUUAUCUAUAUGACUAAUACUAAUUUGCCUAUAAAUACCUUACACGGGGUGAUCUAUGAGGUACAAUCAAUUUACAAACAUGUAUAUUAUAUUAGAUGUUAGUUACUUGCCUGUUUCUAUAUUGGUUAAAGGAUUCUAAUUUAUCGUUAAUUACAUUAAUUGUGUUUAUAACUAACUUCGCCAAAUUUGUCCUGAUAAUCACGAAAUAUUAGCUAACUUGUGAGAGUAUUUAAGUCUUUUUGGCCAUGAUGAUAUAAGAAAUGAGACCUAAAAUUCUAACAGGAGAGGUUUGUGAUAUUUUUGAAACCACAGGGGAGGAGAGUGAGACUGUCAGAAACCUCAGGGGAGGUAUCUGAAAUUAUCCUUUUUUUUCCUUUCGCUGUCUUUUUUCUUUCAUUAUUUUUCCUUGUCAAAUGUAAUUAUGAGAAGCCAAUAUUUACAUUAACAACAUCUAAAAUUUCAUUAUCAUUCCUGAUAUUGUAUCUAUGGAUGAAAAUAUUCUCCUCAAAUUGAUAAUCUUAAGGUAAAUGAAAAUUAUUCUAUUAUCUUUUCUAUUGUGCAGUUUUUGGAACAUUCCUAUAACCUUCAAAAAAAUUUGAAUACUAAUUGUUUUAACAAAUGAUUUCUCACACCGUGUUUGAUAAAAUGUUAAGAAGAAAACUACGUAACAACAUAGAUUCAUAUUCAAUAUGUUUGAUUGCCGCCACAUAUAUAAGUAUGUUCAUUUGUAGUGCCUCUCUAUCACAUGAUCAAAUAAUCUUGUAUACUUGAAGUAUUUUUGCACAUUUAUUCAACAUCAAUUAAUGGCUUUUGUUACUUUCAAGAAACUUUAGCAUCAUCUUAAUUGCAAUAGUUUGAUUACUUUUUGUAAAAGUUCUUUUCAAGGAGUAGGAAGUAUAACAUAAACAAAUAUGAUAGUCUUGAAGUUUUGUAACUUUUUCUUGUUAUUGCUUACAAUUUUCAUUGCAAUUUUUGUAUUUUGCAAAUUCAUUUUUGAAAAAUAUAUGCAAUAAGUUUGAUACAUUAAAAAAAUAUUGCUGAGAGCAAUAAUAGCAAGGUCAAUAGUGGUAGAAUUUAUUUUAAAUAAUUAUAAGGAAUUUAUUAAAGUUAAGCAAUCCUUUUGUGCCUCUAUAAUAAAAUAGUUUAAAUUUUUAGUUUUUGUUGGAAACUAUAGAUUAGAUUAAAGUUUUCAUUUUUUGUUAUCCUACAUAGCAAUCAGGGUAAUUAGGUGGCAACAAUAACAUCGAUUUGGGAAUAAAAUUUGAAAGUGAAUCAUAUUGAAAAUAUUUUUUAGAAAGAGUGUUAUUUUGACAAAAAACUGUAAGUAUGAUUAUGGUAAAAGUAAUUGAUGAAACUAGGUCUAGCUCCAUGAUACAUAAUCCGGAAGUUAUACAGUUGCUGGUCCUAAUUAUAGAGCAUAAUAUAAGUAUAAACGCAAUAAAUAAAGAUCACAAUGUAAUAAUAUGUAAAAAUACAACAAAUUUUGAUACUCUAUAAAAAUUGUGUAUCACAAUCAACUCAUGUGUCUAAUUUGAAAUCAAAAUGAUCAUACCAUCGGCUAUUCCUUGCAAUGGAACUAAUCCGAGAACUUCUCUCUAAUUCCUAAUUGAAAAAAAAUUAAUGAGUCAUCAGUCAUUAGAAUUUUACCCAUAUUGUUUAUUUUUUUUAGAUUAUAACCACGUUUAAGAUUUCGAAACUAUCCUCUAUUGUCAAAACAAAUUUAAAAGACAAUUAAUUUUAUUUUAAAUGAACCAUCUUUAUCAAAUUAUUAACAAAUGAGUCUCAAGAACGCUCCAUUUGUGGACUUGUUCUUAGUUAGUUAUUUUAAUUAAUUAUGGGUUCUAAUUUGAAUUAAUUAGCUUUGUGAUGUUCUUAGUCGUAUUUGUGUUAUGAUUGUAGAUUUUUUAAUAACAAGAAAGUUGAAAUCUACAAUCAUUCAAAAAAUGGCUUUUGCUGAAUCUGAUAAUUAAUUUUUAUAAUUAAAUUUUGUAAAAUCUAAAAUAACCGAGAACAAGGCUUUUAUAUAAGCUAACAAUAAGGCUAAAAUUUAUAAAGCACAUAAGACAAAUUGGUCAUUCUAAUUAUUUUAUCUAUGUCUGGUCUUUCUCUCAAUUUCCAUAAGAACCUAUGCCUUUCUUUUUUCUUUCUUGGAUUAAGGGUGCAUUUCAUAAAAAUUGAAAUCUGAAAAUUAAAAUUUGAAAUCCAAAAUAUUUUUUAUCCUGUUAGGCUAAUGUUUUUAUUUCCUUUUCUGGUGCACCCUUGGAGGCACCUCAAUCAUUCAACCUGAACUUUCUUACUUUGGUUUUAUCACGGUUUUCUCCUAUUUUCACUAUUUCUUUGGAAAAUAGUAAGCUCCCUCAUAUAAAACACAAAAAGGGCUAUUGCGCGAGAUAAAAGCAGGUGUAGCAACUGGAGGACGGAACAUCAUAUCUCCUAUCUCGUUUAAGCACCUUAUUGAUAAGAAAUGGAACUGCCGUAUAAAUCCCUCACAGUGGCUGUGAACUUUGUAGAGAGGUAGAGGUUGUCUGUUUAACAUUAAGAGCUCCUGAGUUCCCUCCAAUUUGGAAGAUUUUUGUUGCUGUCUAGUAAGGGAUGCUUUUUCUUUUUUGGUAUCAUAUGUACAUGCACAGAAUUGUAAUGGAAUCAGAUCUGGUUUGAAGCUAAAUGUUGGGUCUGAAUGGACAGCAUGUUGAUUUUGCAUUAUUAUUAGUCUUCUCACUUUGUGAACGAGCGUCACUUCUUUGGCAUAUGAUCAGGCAUGCAUAUUCUUUUGCUCAUAACUUUACAAAUGCACAAAUCUGUGAGGAUGCUUGUACUCCAUUUUAUACCCACUGGUUUGGUUAUGCUGAGAGAAUGAUGCCGUUUUCAUGCCCCCGACUGAACAAACGGUUUGAAAGACUUAUAUCAUUACGGACUGAUGAAAUGUUCUCAGGCAUUCUACGUUUUGGCCCAAGCAACUACUUGCCUGUUCAUUUGAGAGUGUCAGUCAAUGUUUCCUUGCUCGUUUGGUGGAUGUAUGUUACUGCAUCAUUAAAACGUCUCACCCCUCACCUCACCCCAGCCCAUGGCAAGGUAUUAUUCAGUAGUUAGGACUGAAUACUGAUGACAUCUUAUUUCCUACUUAUUGUGAAUCGGGCCAGUUUGUGCUAAGCUGACCAGUAAAAUAGCUGCUGGUCUUCCAGCCAGGUGGAAAAUGCUCCAAUAUAAAAUGCUCUAAACGCGCAUAAAUUUGGCCGGCGUCAGCAUAAUCUAUUCCUGGCUGAAGUCCUCAGUCCUCACCUAGGCUGACUAUUUUUUGUCUGGGUUUAGAAGGCUCUUAAGUCUACCAAGUGGACAUUGAUUAACCCCCAAGUCUGAUUUUGGGAGUUCAAAAUUAUGGUUUUGCUCCUUAGUAUUAUUAUUAAUCUCCGUCUCUCUGUAACUGAUUGGUAAAUUUUAUUGGCACCGAGUCCGAGAAGCUUGAAGAUCCUCUCGUGCUUAGGUGUAUUUGAUUUAUCAGAAAGUGGGUGCUAAGUUUUACUGCAGAGCUGUUAACAGAAAAUGCUUUCUGGCAGAUGACUACCGCAAUAUCGAUUGAAGAUGUCCGUAGGGAGGUAAAGAUAUUGAGAGCCUUGUCUGGACAUAAGAAUCUGGUCCAAUUUCAUGAAGCAUUUGAGGAUGCCCAGAACGUCUACAUAGUUAUGGAGCAUUUGAGGAUGCCCAGAACGUCUACAUAGUUAUGGAGCAUGUAUGCCCUAAUACACCAGUAUUUUCAUGCUUCCAAUUCAUAGAAGUUGUAAUUCAUUUUAUUGUACCCACAAAAAGGUUUGUUUCCACUGUAUUAACUUCCAAUCGUGAUUGAAUAUUAUCACAAAAAAGCAUUUUGCUAAAGCCUCGCAUCUCAUAAUAUAUUCUACAAUUGUUAUUAUUUUUCAGUUUAUCAGUGAUUGAUCAGUGAUUGGACAAAAUAUCAAUAGUGGCGCAUGCGAGUUGCAUGGCAAAGCUCUAUUUUUUUUAUAAUAAAAAAAAAAAAAAGUGGCGCAUGCGAGUUGCAUGGCACCCAAUAAUUGUAAACCGACAAAUGAAUGCAUCGCGUGCCUAAAAGCCAUAUACUGUACAACUAGCAUACGUAUUAUAUAGUGGAAAUGUGGUCUACCAUACUAAUAAAUCUAAACCAGUCAUAGUCCUUCAGACUCCAACAUUAUUCCUACUGCCCUAAAAAAGCAUAUUACUGUCUUUUCCUCUGCUCUGCUCUGAUCAGAUUACAAUACUACAACGAUAUAGAUUAAGUUUCAAGCAGUUGAAAACGUCGUCUCUCCCACACAAGAAAAGCCAAUUCAAGUUCCCCUCCCAAUCAUCAAGUGUGGUGAUAAUGUCGACCCGCAAUAGCUCCAACAUCAUAGCUUGCAAAGGUACUGAACCCACUACUAAUUGAUUGGCUCCUAGCUACAAUAAUGCAAUCUGUGUACAAUUGUCGUUGUUUCACACUUUACGUGUGGAUCGGUGGAUUUCUCGUUAUUGCUGCUCCCUUAAGUCCGUUCUUUCUAUUUUUGGGCAAUACAAGGAAUUGCCUACUCAUUACUUGUUAGUUCUCUUGUGCUAUUUUUCUCUUUGUAUCUCCAGAUAUCACAAUACUCCAUUUAAGGUUUAAUUGAUGAUGCUACACCCUCCCCCCUCCUUCAAAAAUAAAAAUAAAAAUAAAAAUAGGCGUUGUUUGCUGGGGAAAAGGCGAGGCACCCAAGGUAGAAGAGAUAGAGGUGGAACCUCCGAGAUCAGGUGAAGUUAGGGUAAAGAUGUUAUUUGCCAGCCUUUGUCACACUGAUGUCUUAUGCUGCAAUGGCUUUCCAACGGUUACUACUCUCUCUUUACUCCUCAUAUACCUUUUUUUUUUUUUUUGGUAAUCCUGUUUUCCGAUUUUUAACUCAACUCUCUUUCUUUCUCACUUGUUUUGGUAAUCCUCAUUCCAGCCUCUAUUUCCUCGAGUUCUGGGACAUGAAGGUGUUGGGUAAUCGAUUUCUCUUCCAAUCUCUCUUUUGUUCUUGCAUUUUGCUUCAGUAAUUCAGUUUCAACUUUUAAAUUUCAGACUUCAACUAUCAAUUUUAUAGAAUGACCAAAUAGAGCUGAAUAGUAAUCCCUUUCAUCUUCUCUCCAGCCAGAUAGAGAGUGUCGGUGAAGAAGUCUUUCACCUCAAAGUGGGAGACAUGGUCAUUCCUACGUACUUGGGGGAGUGUAAAAAAUGCAACAACUGUAUUUCCGGAAAGACCAACCUAUGCGAGACCUACCCCUUGCAAGCUUUCACCGGAUUAAUGCCAGAUGGUUCAUCAAGAAUGUCCAUUAUAACUUCAGGUCGCCGCCAAAUGCUGUACCAAUUUCUUAGUUGCUCCACAUGGUCCCAGUAUACCAUUGUAGACGCUAACUACGUCGUGAAGAUGGAUUCACGGCUAGCUCUACCACACGCUAGCUUCCUGUCCUGCGGUUUCACCACUGGGUUUGGAGCAACUUGGAAAGAAGCCAAGGUUGAAAAAGGUUCUACCGUUGCUAUUUUUGGCCUUGGCGCUGUUGGAUUGGGAGUAAGUGCAACAUCAACAUGCCAAAUGUUAGGACGAGGGACGAUGCGGUUAGGAUUUCGUGCAGUUCUAACGGUUGUCAUUCUUCUUACAUAAUUUGGUGUACCACCAUAUAACCUUGGUGUAUUCGUACACUUUUUUCAUGCACAUCAACUCAAUGUGUAAAUACAACUAGGUACACCAAUAUAUGAAGAAAUACAACAACCUCAUAUAAUUGCACGAAAUACAAUCGUAUCUAUCCCAAUGAAUCCUUCCUCAAUCUGUCCCGUUCUUCUCAUAGGACCUAACUUUCAAAUGCAAUGCAGGCAGUUGAGGGUGCUCGAGUGCGCGGAGCAGCACAAAUUGUAGGCAUUGACAUCAACAAAGACAAGCGCGAAAAGGGGGAAGCUUUUGGAAUGACGCAUUAUAUAAACCCCAAAGCCAUUGGUGAUAUAUCCAUCUCAGAAAUGGUGAAAGAGCUAACUAAUGGACGAGGAGUGGACUAUAGCUUUGAAUGCACGGGGGUUCCUGAUUUGGUUAACGAAGCUUUGGAAACCACCAAAAUGGUAAUUAACUGUCCCAUAACACAACCAUGGAGCAUAGUAUUUGAAACAGCUACUAAUUCCAAGUUAUCUUUUUCUUGGUAAUUUGCUAUCAGGGAGUAGGGAAAACGAUAAUGCUUGGAGCAGGGACUCAAAAGAGCAUGGAAAUCGACUUCAUUUCCCUGCUUGGAUGCAGAACAUUCAAAUACUCUAUUUUUGGUGGGGUUAAAGUCCAGUCUGACCUUCCAGUUGUGAUUGACAAAUGCAUCAAUAAGGUAGAAUAAUCUUCAAGAAAAAUGCACUGAAAUUCCAUUUAUCUUUAGCAUAGCUUUUUCUUCAAAAAUUUCGGAUACUUUCCUAUUCAAAAGUACAAACCUUAACUGAAAUAAUUCAAUUCUCCACCAUCCAACAGAGGAGAGAUCAGAAACGAAAACUUUCUACGUUGACCACAGAAAUUAGCUGAAAUUUCCCAUCUAUCUUGCAGGAGAUACAGAAACUAGAUCAGCUUUUAACUCAUGAAAUUCAACUCAAGGACAUAAACCGAGCCUUUGAUCUACUGAAGGAACCUGACUGCGUCAAGGUUCUCAUCCAGUUAUGAUUGCCCAGCAAGAAUUUUCAAUAUGACUUUUGGUCUUUUUGGUUUUCAAUCUUAUCUUAUUGUAGUCCAAAACAAAAGGAAGCAAUAAAAGAGAUCUUGAGUUUUGCCGCCCUCAGAUCCUUCAGGGUACUUUUAAUAUGACAACCGGAAGAGAGUGAAGCACCGGGAACAAGGUUCAAUUCUUCACAAAGCAAAUGAAAAAGCUGCGAUUAAUAUGACAAUUGACUUAAAAAUUCAAUAUAUCGCGCUAUGCACUGCCAUUGAAUAAAAAGAUCCAAGUGAAGGGUCUGUUUCAUAUUACCCCUAUCAGUUCUCCUGUAACAAGUUCCGUAAGAUGCUCGGAACUCAUUUUUAACAAAGCAGGCAGGGUACUUUUGGCAUCUGAUUUUCAGUCCUGACGCGACGCAAAUAGUAAUAAAGAAAGCAAAAGUAAGUGAGGGGUCAGAUAGUGACCAUCAUCGCAAGCAAUGUUUAGUACUCAGCAUAACAAAACACAUCAUGUCAUUGCAAGCAAUGUAAAAUUCCGAGCAUUGUUAGGUAAUGACAUCAUCCAAUCCUGCCGAAUAAGUUCACGAGAAAGCCAAAAACUAAUCAGUAAGCUAUAAGCCAACAUUAAGCAAUACACACGACAAAGAAACUACCAAUAUCUCAUGUACCAUUCAAGGUACCAAAUGAUCAUUUGAUAUAAUACUACUAUGUUGUCCAGUAAACAAUGUCAUAUUCCAUAUUCUCUAUUCAAGUGACAUCAUCAUCAAGCACUACAGACGUGUCUAUGAACACCUUGGCUCAUUGCUACAGUGCAUAAACUUGAAGGAAGUUGCCUAUGCAUUUAACCAUUUGCUGAUAAAACACGUUUGACAGUCAAGAAAACCCUUAGGCCUUGACAGUCAAACAUGAUUACUAUGAAAGAAGACUCAAA
This 18209-nucleotide long non-coding RNA is filed under the name Coffea arabica (coffee). RNAcentral describes it as "long non-coding RNA (CARA_LNC001448)". Lineage: Eukaryota; Viridiplantae; Streptophyta; Magnoliopsida; Gentianales; Rubiaceae. The record is from RNAcentral.